Molecule: ribosomal RNA, 392 nt
Filed under: uncultured microorganism
Description: bacterial SSU rRNA
Rfam family: Bacterial small subunit ribosomal RNA
Source: RNAcentral
GAGUUUGAUCAUGGCUCAGGACGAACGCUGGCGGCGUGCUUAACACAUGCAAGUCGAACGGUAAGGCUCCAGCUUGCUGGGGUACACGAGUGGCGAACGGGUGAGUAACACGUGGGUGACCUGCCCUGCACUUCGGGAUAAGCCUGGGAAACUGGGUCUAAUACCGGAUAGGACCGCACCGUGAGGGUGUGGUGGAAAGUUUUUUCGGUGUGGGAUGGGCCCGCGGCCUAUCAGCUUGUUGGUGGGGUAAUGGCCUACCAAGGCGGCGACGGGUAGCCGGCCUGAGAGGGUGGACGGCCACAUUGGGACUGAGACACGGCCCAGACUCCUACGGGAGGCAGCAGUGGGGAAUAUUGCACAAUGGGCGGAAGCCUGAUGCAGCGACGCCGCGU